UACGAAGGUGGCAAGCGUUAUUCGGAUUUACUGGGCGUACAGGGAGCGUAGGCGGUUCGGUAAGCCCUCUGUGAAAUCUCCAGGCUUAACCUGGAAAAGUCGGGGGGGACUGCUGGGCUAGAGGACGGGAGAGGAGCGCGGAAUUCCCGGUGUAGCGGUGAAAUGCGUAGAGAUCGGGAGGAAGGCCGGUGGCGAAGGCGGCGCUCUGGAACGUUUCUGACGCUGAGGCUCGAAAGCGUGGGGAGCAAACAGG
This 253-nucleotide ribosomal RNA is filed under the name uncultured bacterium. Its description in RNAcentral is "partial 16S ribosomal RNA". It matches the Rfam family "Bacterial small subunit ribosomal RNA", at positions 524 to 776 of the family's 1533-position model. The record is from RNAcentral.